Long non-coding RNA from Bubalus bubalis (water buffalo), 673 nucleotides. RefSeq lists it as uncharacterized. The transcript has 3 exons. Lineage: Eukaryota; Metazoa; Chordata; Mammalia; Artiodactyla; Bovidae. The record is from RefSeq and is a predicted model, not a curated record.
AGUACCUGUCCUUUCUAAACUCGCACAAGGGAAGCUCGCUAUCUACACCCAAACACUGCCUGGAUUUUAAAUCAUAAUAACCAGCCUCUGUGACUCAAACACUGAAACAAUAUGGCUGCACACAGGGUCCUGGGAUCAGGUUGCCAUGAUCAAAGAGAGCCACUGACUCCACACUUAAAUCUUAACUCAAAGGCUUAACAGAUCCUGGAAGCCUAGAUCAAGCCAGUGAUAAUGGACUUUAGAGGAAAGGAAUGCAGACAUGAAAGGUAUUGACGAGAUGGAAUUUACUCAUGACUGAAACACAGUGGGCCAGGCUGGCCUGAGAGGAGAAAGAGAGCAGAGGGAACCUGAGUAAGGCUGAAGCUGGAUGAAUCACAAAUGAAUGGAAUACACAUCCAGGUUUGCUGAAGUUUGGGGUUUACCAGACACAGGAAGCAAUUUCAGAGAGAGGUGCGAAGAUCUCCCAUCCCCAAGGCUGAGAGGCUGAUUCCCAAGGUCAAAUUCCUGAGCGGAGGGGACAAGAAGGAUACCUAUGCUGUCCAGACAAGUUUCAAAAGGGCUCUUGGAACUCUGAGAUUCUAUGCCACUUAUUUAAACAGUAACUGUCAGGUCAAAAAUUUGGAAAGACUACAAGAAAGUACAAACUUUUUGUUUCAUGAAUAAAAUGCCCAAA